This 433-nucleotide ribosomal RNA is filed under the name uncultured bacterium. Its description in RNAcentral is "partial 16S ribosomal RNA". It matches the Rfam family "Bacterial small subunit ribosomal RNA", at positions 29 to 507 of the family's 1533-position model. The record is from RNAcentral.
AACGAACGCUGGCGGCAUGCCUAACACAUGUAAGUCGAACGAGACCUUCGGGUCUAGUGGCGCACGGGUGCGUAACGCGUGGGAACCUGCCCUUAGGUUCGGAAUAACUCCCCGAAAGGGGUGCUAAUACCGGAUAAUGUCUUCGGACCAAAGAUUUAUCGCCUUUGGAUGGGCCCGCGUUGGAUUAGCUAGUUGGUAGGGUAAAAGCCUACCAAGGCGACGAUCCAUAGCUGGUCUGAGAGGAUGAUCAGCCACACUGGGACUGAGACACAGCCCAGACUCCUACGGGAGGCAGCAGUGGGGAAUAUUGGACGAUGGGCGAAAGCCUGAUCCAGCAAUGCCGCGUGAGUGAUGAAGGCCUUAGGGUUGUAAAGCUCUUUUACCCGGGAUGAUAAUGACAGUACCGGGAGAAUAAGCUCCGGCUAACUCCGUG